CCUGUGCUGUGGCCCCGCCAAACGGCGCGCUGUCUUGCGGGGUGGGCCCGGUGUGGGCGCUGUGCUCGCGGCCGGUCCCGGGGCGCUGCUGGCCGGGUUCCUCGAUCCCGGGGGGAUGGGAUGCAGGCCUGUUCUCUGGAGAGGGGUGCGAUCCGUAUGGGAUAAGAUAUUUCCAGAGUAAUAAGCAUGGUUCAGCAACGAAAAUGUGCAUUAUGUCACAUUGUGUACAACUCAAAAAAGGAGAUGGAAGAACACAUGAGAAGCAUGCUUCACCACAGAGAACUGGAAAACCUGAAGGGAAGGGAUAGCAGCCAUGAAUGCCGGGUGUGCAGGGUGACACUGGUGGGUUUGUCAGCAUAUGCCAAACACAUCUCCAGUCAGCUGCACAAAGACAACAUUAAUGCCCAUGACAGAAAAGAGGAUGAGAAAGAAGAGGCAGAAGAAGAAUACCUUGACAAAGAACUCACUCAACUAAUCAAGCAAAAGAAGGAACGGAACCGGCAAACUGAACCAAGUUGUGCAAACAAAGAAUUAGAAUGUGAUGAUAGGAGAUCACAGAGAUUGCGAGAAGAAAGAGCUGCAUACAAAGAAAGAGAAGCUUAUGAUCAAUCAUCUUGGCAUCAUCAUAGUGCAUCACAAAGGGACUGGAAGUGGGAAAAAGAUGAUUAUGUUAGUCCUAGACAAGGCAAAUUUUCACACUCUCAGAGGAACCUUAAUAUAAAUAAACAUUCAGGAGGUGCAAGGGGGCGCUCUGGGUGGCACCAGAAUGUUUCAGGAAGCCCUUCAAAUCGACAUAACUGUGGGAAUUCUGGAAAUGCUUGGCAUCUAAGUGGGCGGGGAGGAGGAACCUCAAAUUGGCAUCAUGGUGCCAGGGAAAGAAAUUCUGCUUGGCACUCAGAAGAAACAGGUCAUUUUUCUAGCUGGAAUUCCAAGAGUUAUGGAGGAAACUGGAAAUCAAGUUCUCGUGGUGCAAAUGGCUGGAAUUUUGGAAGCUCGGGAGAUUCGUAUUCACCAGAGCCAAGUAUAUACAGUAAGGAAAGGUACACAUGGCAGCGGCCAGAGAAAGGUGAUGUUCUGCCAUACAGAAAUCGAAGGAAUAGGGAUGACUCUCUGGAUUUUACUAGUGAUAAGCUCGCUGCUGAAGGGGGAUUGGAUUUUAGUCUAUUGAAACAGCUAGAAAGCAAAACUUCAAGAGCUAGUGGAAAAAGUGUCAGUCCUUCCAGAGAUAAAACAUAUCGCUGGACUCCCUACCCAUCCCAGAAAACUGCAGAACAACAAGCACGGUCUGAAGAUAAUUCAAAAACUUUGGAUAAAAUGGAUUCUGUACUUACGCCUCGUACUGAUUCAUCAGUGAAAGAAAAAACUGGUGAAGCCAAUGUUAGCCUUUCAAAACUUCAAGAACAUGAAGCAUCUUCCCCUUCUUUUGGAACCUCAGAUAAGCCUGAUUCUUGCAAGGUUGUAAAAGACUGUUCCAGUGGUGAAAAGCCUGACAAAGAUGAUAGCAGAAGUAAUAGGAUGCCAUCAGUGAAAUCCCCUCUACUGAAUAUCACAGAUAUGAAGUUAUCCUUUUCAAAGCAAGACACAAACAGUCUCUUAAAAAAUGUCAGGCUUUUAUUAUCAUCAACUAGUAGUGAAGAACAGAAUCAUUUGAAUGCAGUGAACUUGGAAACAAACAGUUUCUCCUCUUAUUCAUCAAAACUGCAUGGUGCUUGUGUUGGUAACUUACAAGACAACAAAGGUGUGCUUGGUAACAAUCUUGGAGAUCCUGUUAAUCACUUAAGUGAAGCAGAACAAAAUCCCAAAGGUGUUCAGUCCAACCAUUCCUUGCAAAAUGCACCUUUAAGUUCUUGCAAAGAUACAAGUGACCAGAAUAGGAGAGAAACUGGGAAAGCAUUGCCAAAGAAGGAGUUCAAAAUAGAUUCGUUAGGAGAUGUGAGUGGUGAUGAUUUAAUGGGAAGUGAGAAGUCAGAAGCAAGUGUUGCAAAGCUGGAUUCUUCUGUUAGUUCUUGCUUACCCUGUGAUGCUCCUGAUGGUAAAACUAUCACCUCUGAAAAGGAAGGUUAUAAAAAAACAUCUGCUUCAAGUAUUGCUCCUGUUGAGCUAAAAAAUUUUACAUUUCAGGUAGAACCCACAGUUUCUUCAUCAAGCAGUCAGGACCCUUUGCAUGUGGAUUUGAAAAUUUCACAGGACAGGGAAGGGAAUGAAGAGUGUGUCAAGUCACAUGAUCAGUUUGAAAUGGAAGGUUUUGAAAAUCCUUCAGAUAAUGAGCUUCAAAAGGGAGGAAGCCAGUCAGGAGGCGGCCUUCUUCCUGACUUAAGCAAACUUGGCCUGCCUGCUUCUCUGCAAAGAGACCUGACACGGCAUAUCAGUCUGAAGAGCAAAGUCGGGACACAUCUCCCAGAGCCCAAUCUCAAUAACGCACGUCGCAUUCGGAAUGUGAAUUGUCUUCGGAGAAGUGAGACAGAGAAGGAGUCAGGGCUUAAACCUACGCUCAGGCAGAUUCUUAGUGCUUCCAGGCGAAAUGUUAACUGGGAUCAGGUCAUCCAGCAGGUAACCAAGAAGAAACAGGAACUUGGCAAAGGUUUACCAAGGUUUGGCAUAGAAAUGGUGCCUCUUGUUCAAAAUGAGCAAGAAGGUCUAGAACUCAGUGAAGAAUCUGAUCCAUCUACUCUGGAAGGAUUCCAGUGGGAAGGGAUUUCUUUAGCAGUAUCUGGCUCUGCCAGAAAACGUAGCUUUUCUGAAAGCAGUGUCAUAGCAGACAGAAAUCCUUCUGAUUAUAGCUUUUUCAGUGAACAAGCCAAAAUUAAAGAAAGUGGGCAAAGGCAAGUAAUUGCAGCCAGCCACUCACAUCAUAUAACAUCUGGAUAUGAGGCAGUCACUGACAUUGAAGCUGAUCAGAAAGAGGAGACACCAUCUCUUGCUUUGUCACCUUUUAUGUCUGAAAGAACUGAGGCUAGCAGAAGAAGUCACAGCCUACAGGCCGCCUUUGAGAUCACAGGCCUUGUAGAACAAGACCAGGAGAGCCCAGAGAAGAGAACACCUCUUCUUGAAAAGCAAAACGUAUUAGAGAUCUCAGAAGAAAAUCGUCCAGCUUCAAAUAGUGCUUCACUUCUUGCAGUGUCUAAUAACAUAGAUGCGGCUACAGACAGUAGCUGCACAUCUGGUACUGAACAGAAUGACAGCCAAGGAAUUGGAAAGAAGCGAAGGGCAACUGGAGAGGGAUCUUCUCCUGAAAUCCCUAGUCUAGAAAGAAAUAAUAAAAGAAGAAAAAUCAAAGGUAAAAGAGAACGUUCUCAGGUAGACCAGUUGUUGGCUAUUUCUCUGAGGGAAGAAGAGUUAAGUAAGUCCCUGCAGAGUGUGGACAGGAGCCUCCUGCAGGCGAGGGCUGCCCUGCAGGCUGCCUAUAUUGAGGUUCAACGGUUCCUUGUGUUAAAGCAGCAGAUAACUAUGGAAAUGAGUACACUAAGAAGUCAGAGAAUCCAGAUCCUUCAGGGGCUACAAGAAACAUAUGAACCUUCUGAACUCUCAGAGCAACUUUCCUGCAAUACCCUAACUGAGAGACGAAACAGCAAGUCUCAGAUGGCAGCUGACCCAAUUCCUUCAGGCUCUCUCCUGCCCCUCGUGGACAGUUUGUCUUCCUCUGUACCUCCAGGAGGAUCUUCUAUUCCAGUAACCAUGCCAUCACCAUUCCAGUCUUCUGGCAGUAUACCUUCCAACACUCCUGACUCCCCAGUACAAGUUAAACGAGAACCUGUGUCUCCACAAGGCACAGAACUAAAUGUGAAUUCUGUACUCCAGAGCUCUGCAUGUGCUCCACAAACAGAAGAGGCGGAACAGAAUGAUGAAGAGACCAACCAGAAAACUUCAGUGUAUCCUGUUAUCACUGCAACCAUAUCCCUAGCAGGACUGGCAGGUUGUUUCCAACAGACUAACCAAGAUGUCCACAAGCCUGAUGCAGACAAGGGACAGUCUGGAAUUCCUGAGAACUCUUCUCCUCAUUCAGUGUCUGUUUUCAGCAAGAGAGAAGCAAAUGAUACAGUUGGUGAAAAAUUUUUGAUGGAUCAGUGUAGCACUUCCCUUUCAAAGCAUUCAGUCCUUCUAGAAAUGCCAAUGGAUAAAACGCCCAAAUUGUCAGCAGAACCGUCUGAGCAACACUUGACAAUGGCUACAGUCCCAGCUGAGAAAGGGAAUAGAAGGAGGAGAAGGUUAAGGAAGAAGAAAACUCUGAGGGCAGCCCAUGUGCCAGACAACAGUGAUACUGAGCAGGAUAUGAUUGACUUCAAGCCUGUCCGGAAAGUCAAGGGUGGAAAGGUCCCUAAAGGAGAAAAAGUUACUACAUCUACUCCUACAAGAGAGGAGAGUGGAGUUACUGCUCAAGCAGUAAGAGACAAAGACAAGAAUGACAGUGAUGCUUCUCUGGAACUAGUGGAAAUUUCAGCACCUCAGUGUGAUGUGGUUGAUGUUGGUUCAUCAGAGUCAGGAGAUGAGAAACCAGACGAUCCGUCAAAGAGGGAUUCAUGCAAUUCUGUGGAUCAAGCAGCCCUAGAGGCAUCUUGCUCUGGUUAUGAUGAAGUGAGCUCCACCAGUGAGAUUGGCACAAAUUCUAGGAAUGAUGGGAAAAGAAGUGUGGCUGAGAUACAGACUUCCAUAUCAUCCGUAAGAGGAUCAAAGAAUUCUUCAGAAGUGUCUUCAGAGCCAGGUGAGGAUGAAGAACCUACUGAGGGAAACUUUGAGGGACACUUGGCUGCAGUGAAUGCUAUUCAGAUUUUUGGGAAUUUGUUGUAUACCUGCUCAGCAGACAAAACAGUUUGUGCCUACAAUCUUGUUAGCAGGAAGUGUGUGGCCAUCUUUGAAGGACAUACUUCAAAAGUGAACUGCCUUCUGGUCACUCAGACAAAUGGGAAGAAUGCUGCACUCUACACUGGCUCAAGUGACCACACUGUCAAUUGUUACAAUAUCAAGUUAAUGAAAAUCUUUAAGUACUUCUUUCCAUUGCUAGACCAAAGAGUGCAUGGAACAGUUUAAAUUGGAAGAUCGAGUGCUCUGUUUACACAGUAGAUGGCGGAUCCUUUAUGCAGGUCUUGCAAAUGGCACUGUGGUUACUUUCAGCAUAAAGAAUAAUAAACAGCUUGAUACCUUUGAAUGCCAUGGCCCUAGAGCAGUGAGCUGUUUAGCCACAGCUCAGGAAGGAGCACGCAAGUUGUUGGUAGUGGGCUCCUAUGACUGCACCAUCAGUGUGCGAGAUGCACGGAAUGGGCUGCUUCUCAGAACCCUGGAGGGUCACAGCAAGACUAUUCUCUGCAUGAAGGUUGUGAAUGAUCUGGUAUUCAGUGGUUCCAGUGAUCAGUCUGUCCAUGCCCACAACAUUCAUACUGGAGAGCUGGUACGGAUCUAUAAGGGCCAUAACCAUGCAGUAACGGUUGUGAACAUUCUUGGGAAAGUCAUGGUGACAGCAUGUCUGGAUAAAUUUGUUCGUGUUUAUGAACUACAGUCACACGACCGCUUGCAAGUCUACGGAGGCCACACAGAUAUGAUUAUGUGUAUGACCAUCCAUAAGAGCAUGAUCUACACUGGAUGCUAUGAUGGCAGUGUCAGAGCUGUGAGGCUUAAUCUGAUGCAAAAUUAUCGCUGCUGGUGGCAUGGAUGUUCACUGAUCUUUGGAGUUGUGGACCAUCUGAAACAACACCUGCUAACCGACCACACCAAUCCAAAUUUUCAGACCCUGAAAUGUCGUUGGAAGAACUGUGAUGCUUUCUUUACUUCCAGGAAAGGUUCCAAGCAGGAUGCUGUAGGACACAUUGAAAGACAUGCUGAGGAUGACAGCAGGAUUGACUCGUGAAGUUUUUCACCUCCCACAUUGGGAAGUAAUUUUGUAUGUCAAAGUUAUUCCAAAUAACAUCUGUUUCUUACUCCAGUCUUUCCUCUUUCUUUCCCCACUUGGAAUGCAAAAACUGAGUGGGGCUGAAAUGCAUUGCUACAGAGACUGCAGGUUUUGUUGUACUCUGUAGAAAUAAGGCUGGUAAUUAAGACUUAGCCCAAGUUCUUGCAAGUUUUUAGUUCAUUGGUGGACAAGAAUAUUCCUUCCUCUUGUCUGCCUUGGUUUUUUUUGUUGUUUGUCUCUUUUCAGAUGGUUUUAUUUUUUUUUUUAAGAAGUACAGUCUUUGGGAAGUCCAAAGGGGUGUUGAAAACUUAGAUUACAAUAGGUGCUGCUGUUUGCAAACUCAGCUUGCAGCCUAUUAUGUGUCCAAGGUGUGUCAGGUUUUGUUGUAUCCAAUUUUUUUAGCCGAUUUUAAUAAAAUUCUGCAAACCAGAAUAUCACAAAUUCUAACAAUGUAACCUGAAUAUCCAGUGUACAUUUUUCUUUCUUCAUAAAAAUAAAAGUUAUUUUAUGGAGACUGGAAUAAAUUAAUUUUUUAAUGUUAAUUGUAUGUAACUUAUUUUUUAUUCCUUGUGUAAAAAUUGCUGUAACUGGCACAAUAUAUACAGUGAUAGAUACCAUACCUCUUGAGGUAUUCUGUUUAUUUUGAGGAAAGUGGUUAUUUCUUGAGAGAGAUGCCAGUAGCAGCAAAACAGCCAAAACAGUGGCUCUACUCACAUGCUUUGCAAUCUUAGUCUUUUUCAGUAUAGGUCCAAAUGUAUGGGAAAAAAGUAAGUGGUGUUUGUUUCUCUUUUAGUUAAAGAGCAGUGUAACCACCACUGCUGUCUUGAUAAAACACCGUAAUUGGAUUGCUGAUUUUGUGGAAUCUUAGUGGCUGAGCUUUGCAGUCCCAUAUCCUCAUGGCAUAGCAAACCAAGAGAAAUGCAAAGGCACUGUGUGUCUGAGUGCAUCCACUUUGGUAGUGUUUUGUUUUUGUUGUGAACUGGCUUAAUUGUCUUGGGCUAUAUGAAGUUCACAAAAACUCAACUGGAAAGAAUGGAACAGGGUUUUAAAGUCUAAAGUUCUCAAGCAGAAGCUGAGGAUAUGAAAUGCAUUUCACAUGUAAAAGUCUUGUUUCUCCUAAUGCACGGAAGGUACCACAGUGAGGCCAGUGCAGAAGGGAAGACUGAGCUUGUCAGGGUUCUCCUGCAGGUGUCCCCCUUGAGUGGGAUUGCUUCACCUCAGAAGUUCAGUGAAAUGUCCUUCUGCCACUCGCCAUCCUCUCUCCCCUCCCUAAUGACACUAAUUUAUAACAAAGAACCCUCUUAACGCUGAGUCUAAUCUAGCAAGGAGCUUUGUGUUCACUUUUGCCUAACUUUGGUGCUCAGGAUAAAAUAAGCAGAGGUUUUCCCAAGCUGUAAGAGAGGGUGAAGACAGUGAACUGAGCUACUUGUACACAAAUUCAGCGCUUUUCAAAAAAUCCUGAGUGGACUGUUUUUACUGGGUAUCUUAUUCACAACCAAUUUCAAACUUGUCAACCAUAGACCAAAUAAAUUUUAUAGCCUCAUUCUUUGACUGUAAAGAAGCCUUUUUAGGCCAAGAAAGUGAAUAAUUCAGGAAAGCCCAUGGAUGUUCCAUUGCCAUCCAAUCAAGGAACUUCAGGGCCUUCUCUGGAGCACACUGGUUUUGUAUUAUCUUAGCAUACAAGCAGAAUUGCUCUGACUGAUGGAUAUUAUUUGUGAGAUGGGAGGAAAAUAAGAAUGAGAUGUAGAAGCAUCCUACUUCAAAGACAUGGGAAUCUCUGAGGUUCCAGUACUUUUGUGGUGAUUUAGUUUGUUUAUUUUUUAUUAAGCUGUUUGUGGAUAGCAGAGAGCCCCAAUAUGUGGCUCAGACCUCAGGCUGUUCUGAGGGUGUUCUUGUUUUGGUUUUUAGGGGAUGUGUGUUUGUGGUUUUGGUGCUGGGCUUUUUUAAUCUUUCUUUCUAUGGACUGUGGAUGAAGCAGUUCAAUAGAGAAUCAAGUCUGGGGAAGUCUUUAAGCAGUGUAGAUGUUUUAGAAUGGAGGGUGUAAUGCUCUAAAGCCUGAGAGCAUUUGUUUGGGUUUUUUGAUGACCUAAAAGCAGAAGGCUGCAUAAUACUUAAACCAUUUCCAAAGGUGAUGGUAUUCAGGAGUUCUGAGAGUUUUUUGAACCAUGAUGAGGGAGCACAUAAGUGUGGCAUAAACAGGGUAGGCAUCCUAAGCUGUCCUUCAUGGACUGUGCUGCAAGUGAAGGUGUGGAGGUGUGUCCCGAGGACAAGCCUGUGGGGCAAUAGUGGCAUUCUGAAAAACGUGUGUGAGAGUAGAUUUUGUUACUUCUCCCUUGUGAGUCUUUACAUUCUUUCAGCUGUUUUCAGGAACAUAUAAGGAUCUUUCUCAUUAGUUGUUGCAAUAAACACAGUUAUGACACUUUAUUUGCAUUCCCGUUUGCUUGUUGGACUUAUCUUUUCUAGUUGGUGGAAGUGGUCUUUUUUUUUGUGGUGGUCCAUAAUAUUUUCUUAGCUGUUUUGAAAACAAUCCUCCUGAAAAGUCUGGGCUACUGAAGUCCAGCUUUAGCAGCUGUGUCUUUUGCUGCUUUGUAGGUCAUUUCAGAUACAUUGUAAGAGAUGGGAAAAUAGCAGAGCUGCAUGAGUGAAAAAUUUUACUUCAUAAAUCAGAAACAAUUUUUUAAAAUCCUUGGGUUCAGAGGAAAAUGCUGUUUUUUCAUGAGGAUAUCUUAAAAGGAUUUGCUAAAAAGUGGUGCAGCUGUGGAAAUCCCCAGGCCUCUCUGGAGUUCUGUGGAGUGGUUUCCUAUUUGUUCAGUUGGAAUUUGGUGCAGAUUUCACAACUGGCCAUUUACUUCAUCUGGAGGCAAUUGCAGAACAGAAAUGCCAAAAUAAUGUUUGUUGGUAUUUGUUAGUGAGAUCCUCUGUGGUCUUGCAACUGAGGGUUUUGACUCCUGAUAUACCUCUAGCUGAAGAAUGCAAUAACUUUGGCAAGAUGGGCUGUUUGUGACAUUUAACACAGUAGUAUUUGCAUGAAAAGCAGUACUGCACAUCUGAAGCCAGUUUCAGGAUUACUUAUUUUUGGUUUUGGUUUGUUUUUUAUGCAAGUAAAAAAUUGUGGGUGGAAGAAUGAGUAGAGUGAAGAUUUAUUUUGUGAUUAGCUGUGGAUUUUUUAUUAGUCUACUGUUAAAAAAAGUUUUGGACUUGCUGUAUGACAGCCCUUUAGGGGCCUUUUGGGAUUGGUCUAUAUUAGUUUCUCCUUUCUCCUUCAAAUUUCAGAGAAAAAUAACAGCUAUCUGGCAGUGCAAAACACUCUGGCCUAACGCUGCUGCUUCUGUACGUGGAAGGGGAUGGAGGGAAAACUGCAUCUCUUGGUACAAAGAUGCAUUAAAUAUCCAGGCUUCUGCUUACCUUGUGUCAGUUAUAUGUGAAUUAGACUUUAAACCUAGUAUCAGCACAUAAGUUGGCUUCUGCAAAAUAGCAGGAGCUUGGCUGUGUGGUGUGUUUGAAGUAGUGCAGUUCUUAAUGCACAUUUUCAAACAGUACAAUCAUGCUGGAUCAAGGUAAAUUAUAUCUGCAAACUUGUAAAUGGCAGGGGAAGUAUUUUUGUUGGGAAAGUACUUUUCCCUUAAGUUGAAUUAAAACACAGGUACAGGUGAAUCUUGGUUUUUUUCUUGGGCCUGUAUUGUACUGUAAUUCAAGCAGUCUGAGUUGUCCAGAGUUACAGAAUAUGUGAGGAAGGAUGAGGAAACGGUUUCAGCUGCUGUUUGUAAAAUAAUUACUCCUCAAAGAGCAAACUGUGUAGGUAUAUAUUCUGUUACAUGCGCCUGCCAGCUUCUCAGAUUUCAUUUUGCUGUAACGUUAAACAGUCUUCUUAAAGAAUGGAAGUGGAAUAGAACAACUUGAUUGAAUAUUUGAUAAUGUAAGCUGUGUAAAACAUGUGCACAGAUGGAUCAUGUUUUUUUUCUCUCAUUUUGGUACAAAGCUGUGAGUGUAAUAACGAAACUUUACAUGGCAAAAGAAGAAAUAAAAAAAAUAAAGUUCUUUAUAUUGUUA
Parus major (Great Tit) is the source of this 9931-nucleotide RNA transcript. It is a transcript of the gene named zinc finger protein 106, with no coding region annotated. The transcript has 22 exons. NCBI's taxonomy places the organism in Eukaryota, Metazoa, Chordata, Aves, Passeriformes, Paridae. The record is from RefSeq and is a predicted model, not a curated record.